GGGGUGUGCUCAGAGCAGGGGGCCUGAAGAAUGGCUUUUCUGUUUACAACACACCCAAAAGGAAUUCAGGUUCAUUGUGACAAGGGGCACAAAACUUGUGUGGUCUCCCUAUGAGCAAAUGCCCUACACAU
Small nucleolar RNA from Choloepus hoffmanni (Hoffmann's two-fingered sloth), 131 nucleotides. Lineage: Eukaryota; Metazoa; Chordata; Mammalia; Pilosa; Megalonychidae. The record is from Ensembl.